GCUGGGCAUGGUAGUGUGUGCCUGUAGUCCCAGCUGCUCGGGAGGCUGAAACGGGAGGAUCGCUUGAGUCCAGGAGUUCGAGGCUGCAGUGAGCUAUGAUCGGGCCACUGCACUCCUCCUGCCUAGACGACAGAGUGAGACCCUGUUUUGU
Molecule: non-coding RNA, 151 nt
Organism: Gorilla gorilla gorilla (western lowland gorilla)
Lineage: Eukaryota; Metazoa; Chordata; Mammalia; Primates; Hominidae
Rfam family: Metazoan signal recognition particle RNA
About the family: The signal recognition particle (SRP) is a universally conserved ribonucleoprotein. It is involved in the co-translational targeting of proteins to membranes.
Source: Rfam